This 297-nucleotide ribosomal RNA is filed under the name uncultured bacterium. RNAcentral describes it as "partial 16S ribosomal RNA". It matches the Rfam family "Bacterial small subunit ribosomal RNA", at positions 521 to 817 of the family's 1533-position model. The record is from RNAcentral.
UAAUACGGAGGGUGCGAGCGUUAAUCGGAAUUACUGGGCGUAAAGGGCGCGUAGGCGGUGAAGUAAGUCGGGUGUGAAAGCCCCGGGCUCAACCUGGGAACUGCAUCCGAUACUGCUUCGCUAGAGUAUGGUAGAGGGAAGCGGAAUUCCGGGUGUAGCGGUGAAAUGCGUAGAUAUCCGGAGGAACACCAGUGGCGAAGGCGGCUUCCUGGACCAAUACUGACGCUGAGGCGCGAAAGCGUGGGGAUCAAACAGGAUUAGAUACCCUGGUAGUCCACGCCCUAAACGAUGAGAACU